UAAUGAGUGACGGCGUGCCUUUUGCAUAAUGAACCUACGAGUUGCCUUUGCCGGCAAGGUUAAGUGUGACGACACACGUAUCCGAAGCGAAAGCGAGUCUGAACAGGGCGUAUAGUCGGCAGUGGCAGACGCGAAACCAAGUGAUCUACCCUUGGCCAGGUUGAAGGCUGGGUAACACCAGCUGGAGGACCGCACCAAUAAGCGUUGAAAAGCUUCUGGAUGAGCUGAGGGUAGGGGUGAAAGGCUAAUCAAACUUGGAGAUAGCUCGUACUCCCCGAAAUGCAUUUAGGUGCAGCCUUGCGGGUUACUGAUGUGAGGUAGAGCGACUGAUAAGAUGCGAGGGCUUCACCGCCUAUCAAGUCUUGACAAACUCCGAAUGCGCAUCAGUUCUACCGCAGGAGUGAGGGCAUGGGUGCUAAGGUCCGUGCCCGAGAGGAGAAGAAUCCGGACCACCUGCUAAGGUCCCGAAAUGACAGCUAAGUUAAACUAACGAAGUCUGACUGCUAAGACAGCUAGGAUGUUGGCUUGGAAGCAGCCAUUCAUUUAAAGAGUGCGUAACAGCUCACUAGUCGAGGAGUCGGGCGUGGAUAAUAAUCGGGUAUCAAGUUGUCUACCGAAGCAGUGGGAUCAUUUAUAUGAUCGGUAGGGGAGCAUUCCAGUCGGCGUCGAAGGCGUACCGCGAGGUAUUCUGGAGCGUCUGGAAAAGCAAAUGUAGGUAUAAGUAACGAUAAAGGGGGCGGGAAACCCCCUCGCCGAAAGACUAAGGUUUCCUGAUCAACGCUAAUCGGAUCAGGGUCAGUCGGGUCCUAAGGCUCAGCCGAACGGCGAUGCCGAUGGCAGAAACGGUUAAUAUUCCGUUACUACCUUCAGGAGUGACGUGGAGACGCAGUAGUGACAGUGCCGCCAUCUGACGGAAUAGAUGGUUGAAGGGUGUAGGAGUCGAUCAUGGCAGGCAAAUCCACCAUGAGAUCCGAACCUGACAGUAUGCCGCGUCCUUCGGGACAAGGCAAUAGUGCGCGUAAGCAUGCUGCCGAGAAAAUCCGCUAAACUUAAUCUUGGAGGUACCCGUACCGCAAACGGACACACGUAGUCGGGAUGAAUAUUCUAAGGCGCUUGAGUGAUUCACGGUUAAGGAACUAGGCAAACUGACCCUGUAACUUCGGGAUAAAGGGUCCCUACCCUUUUAUGGGAGGGCGCAGAGAAUCGGUCCAGGCAACUGUUUAACAAAAACACAGGGCUGUGCCAAAUCGAAAGAUCCAGUAUACAGCCUGACACCUGCCCGGUGCUGGAAGGUUAAGAGGAGAUGUCAUCGAUAAGAGAAGCGUUGAAUUGAAGCCCCAGUAAACGGCGGCCGUAACUAUAACGGUCCUAAGGUAGCGAAAUUCCUUGUC
This 1391-nucleotide ribosomal RNA is filed under the name human gut metagenome. RNAcentral's name for it is "bacterial LSU rRNA". It matches the Rfam family "Bacterial large subunit ribosomal RNA", at positions 587 to 1973 of the family's 2925-position model. The record is from RNAcentral.